GAUGAACGCUGGCGGCGUGCUUAACACAUGCAAGUCGAACGAUGAAGCCCAGCUUGCUGGGUGGAUUAGUGGCGAACGGGUGAGUAACACGUGAGUAACCUGCCCUUAACUCUGGGAUAAGCCUGGGAAACUGGGUCUAAUACCGGAUAGGAGCGCCUACCGCAUGGUGGGUGUUGGAAAGAUUUAUCGGUUUUGGAUGGACUCGCGGCCUAUCAGCUUGUUGGUGAGGGAAUGGCUCACCAAGGCGACGACGGGUAGCCGGCCUGAGAGGGUGACCGGCCACACUGGGACUGAGACACGGCCCAGACUCCUACGGGAGGCAGCAGUGGGGAAUAUUGCACAAUGGGCGAAAGCCUGAUGCAGCGACGCCGCGUGAGGGAUGACGGCCUUCGGGUUGUAAACCUCUUUCAGUAGGGAAGAAGCGAAAGUGACGGUACCUGCAGAAGAAGCACCGGCUAACUACGUG
This 466-nucleotide ribosomal RNA is filed under the name uncultured bacterium. RNAcentral describes it as "partial 16S ribosomal RNA". It matches the Rfam family "Bacterial small subunit ribosomal RNA", at positions 28 to 507 of the family's 1533-position model. The record is from RNAcentral.